Molecule: microRNA, 22 nt
Filed under: Xenopus laevis (African clawed frog)
Lineage: Eukaryota; Metazoa; Chordata; Amphibia; Anura; Pipidae
Description: Xla-Mir-12484-P1-v2_5p (mature (guide))
Source: RNAcentral
AGGGAUCUCGUGAUGCCGGCAA